RNAcentral lists this ribosomal RNA (440 nucleotides) under uncultured Kiloniellales bacterium. RNAcentral describes it as "bacterial SSU rRNA". It matches the Rfam family "Bacterial small subunit ribosomal RNA", at positions 338 to 795 of the family's 1533-position model. The record is from RNAcentral. Lineage: Bacteria; Pseudomonadati; Pseudomonadota; Alphaproteobacteria; Rhodospirillales.
CCUACGGGUGGCUGCAGUGGGGAAUAUUGGACAAUGGGGGAAACCCUGAUCCAGCCAUGCCGCGUGAGUGAAGAAGGCCCUAGGGUUGUAAAGCUCUUUCGACGGGGACGAUGAUGACGGUACCCGUAGAAGAAGCCCCGGCUAACUUCGUGCCAGCAGCCGCGGUAAUACGAAGGGGGCAAGCGUUGUUCGGAUUUACUGGGCGUAAAGGGCGCGUAGGCGGAUUUACAAGUCAGAGGUGAAAGCCCUGGGCUCAACCCGGGAAUGGCCUUUGAGACUGUAAGUCUUGAGUGCGAGAGAGGGUGGCGGAAUACCCAGUGUAGAGGUGAAAUUCGUAGAUAUUGGGUAGAACACCGGUGGCGAAGGCGGCCACCUGGCUCGCAACUGACGCUGAGGCGCGAAAGCGUGGGGAGCAAACAGGAUUAGAUACCCCAGUAGUC